This 667-nucleotide long non-coding RNA is filed under the name Homo sapiens (human). RNAcentral describes it as "HSALNT0319183". Lineage: Eukaryota; Metazoa; Chordata; Mammalia; Primates; Hominidae. The record is from RNAcentral.
GAGAUCACCCUGGAGGAGAACUCCAAGGGUGGGCGGCUAAUGAGGGUUGGAGAAAGGUGGACCCAUGGGCGGUGGCUGCCCACGGCCUUUGAAGUUUCAUUUGCAGUGUUUUAUGAGCCCAUGCUGGAGUAAAUUGUACCUGCAGGCUGCUGCACUUUGCCCUCCCCAGCAAAAGGAGGUGGAAUUCACACUAGUAAUGUCUGGCUGGAGAACACCCUAGAUGAUGAAUCCAGUGAGGGUCAACAGCAGAGAGGAGCUGCCCAGCAGAGAGGAGCUGCCCACCACACCCUCCACCCCAUCUUCCUGAGCCUUCUGUGGAAGCACUGGUUUGCUAGCCUCUGAAGGGCCAUGGGCCCAGCACCAGGUGCCCUCAGCUCUGAGGCCAGGCCGUUACCUGCAUUCAAGAUGGACACUGGCUAGAGAAAGCAUGUCCACAGGGCUGGUCAGUAGGAAAGGGGUUGUGUUUCUGGAAGGGUGCAUCUAACCCAGGGGUUGGUGAGCAUUUUCCUAACCCAGGGCCAGGUAGUAAACAUUUUUGGCUUUGCCAGUCAUGCAGUCUCUGUCACAGCCACUGCACUCUACUACUUUAGCACAAAAGCAGCCAUAGGCAAUACAUUUAAAAAGACGAGCGUGACUGCGUUCCAAUAAAAUUUUAUUUAUAAAAAAC